Molecule: unclassified non-coding RNA, 1221 nt
Filed under: Leishmania donovani
Lineage: Eukaryota; Euglenozoa; Kinetoplastea; Trypanosomatida; Trypanosomatidae
Description: gene:unknown
Source: RNAcentral
UCUUGUUUCAACGCCUUGCGUGUGUGUGUGUGUUAGUAACACCUUCCUUCUCUCUCGCGCACGCAGCCACACCAGCUUGCACAUCACCCGCCAAACCCCCCUCCCCUCCCCUCCCCUCUGUGCCCUCCUUCUUUUGUUGUUGUUCGCUCUGCUGCAUCGUCCGCCUGCCCUCACACGCGCCGAGAAGCACAGCGCCAACGCACGUAAGAGAACCGUUGUGGCCGCAGCGGAGUCGCGAGCGCGCACAAGGGCGUGCCCACGCGCCAGCAGCGGCGGGAGGAAGACGCAGAUGAAGACAGAAACAGCGUAGAAAUUUCAACUGCGAUUAAGCAAGCACGUACACGCAAGGCCUCCCUCUCUGAGGCCAUCGCACCCUCCAUCCCGCGCCGACAGCGCCACCCGCCCUCUACUCUUUCUUCUCGCUCUCUUACCUCAGCGCACGAGCAGACAGGCACACGCACCUGCCUCCUCGAUAGAGGUCCUCCGUGUUGGAGGCUCUUUACACACGCACACAAGCGCCCAUACGCACACGUGUAUGUACAUAACCUUUGUUGUCUACUAUUCUUUGCGUGCAGCUUUCUCUGCGUGUUUGCCUCGUGGCGUGUGCGUGCGUCUGCGUGUGCGUCUGUGAAGGGGACUCGCACCGCCAUUACCGUCAUCACCGUUACCACCUUUUCGUUGCAUCCUCCUCCCUCAUCCCCUCCCACCCCCCAUCUACACCCCUUCCUUUGCGUGUGUGUGUGUGUGUGUGUGUGUGAUCCUCGUGUUGUUGGACGCUCGUCACUCCCUCUCUCCGUUCUCGAGGCUCCGACUCAUCGGGUUUCACAACUCCGCCCGCCCGCUGUCGCUUUACGUCGCCCUCGAUCCCAUCAACUAGGGUAACAGCGGUAGCGAAACGACGUCGCGAAGAGGUGAAGCGCACGGCCAGAACGUCUUCUCGAGGAAGGAGUGAAGGAGCACAACAAGCGCUGCCCCCCCCGCCCCGUUGGCGCUUCAGGAGGCAGACACAGACACAGUGGCAGAGGCGGGUAUCACAAGAAACACGGAAAGGUGCAAGCGGUAAGGAAGGCGAGAGGGAGCGUUAGCGUCGGCGGCAUCGGCGGCAAAGAGAGGGCGCGCCAGCGAGAUCUUCAAGCAUACGGUUGGAGAGGCAACGUGCGAGUGCGCUGUGCAUCGCCCUCACUUCGUCGCAAGCGCAAGACGGAAGAAGCGAAACGGAAA